This 240-nucleotide ribosomal RNA is filed under the name uncultured bacterium. Its description in RNAcentral is "partial 16S ribosomal RNA". It matches the Rfam family "Bacterial small subunit ribosomal RNA", at positions 15 to 244 of the family's 1533-position model. The record is from RNAcentral.
GAUCCUGGCUCAGGAUGAACGCUAGCUACAGGCUUAACACAUGCAAGUCGAGGGGAAACGACAUCGAAAGCUUGCUUUUGAUGGGCGUCGACCGGCGCACGGGUGAGUAACGCGUACCCAACCUGCCCCUCACUUGGGAAUAACCUUGCGAAAGUAAGACUAAUGCCCAAUGAUAUCCCACGAAGGCAUCCGAAUGGGAUUAAAGAUUUAUCGGUGAUGGAUGGGGAUGCGUCUGAUUAG